UACGGGGGGGGCAAGCGUUGUUCGGAAUUACUGGGCGUAAAGGGCUCGUAGGUGGCCAACUAAGUCAGACGUGAAAUCCCUCGGCUUAACCGGGGAACUGCGUCUGAUACUGGAUGGCUGGAGUUUGGGAGAGGGAUGCGGAAUUCCAGGUGUAGCGGUGAAAUGCGUAGAUAUCAAGAGGAACACCUGAGGUGAAGACGGGUUGCUGGGCCAACACUGACGCUGAUGCGCGAAAGCCAGGGGAGCAAACGGG
This 253-nucleotide ribosomal RNA is filed under the name uncultured bacterium. RNAcentral's name for it is "partial 16S ribosomal RNA". It matches the Rfam family "Bacterial small subunit ribosomal RNA", at positions 524 to 776 of the family's 1533-position model. The record is from RNAcentral.